This 507-nucleotide ribosomal RNA is filed under the name Notaticus fasciatus. Its description in RNAcentral is "partial 16S ribosomal RNA". The stretch from base 384 to 507 matches the Rfam family "Bacterial large subunit ribosomal RNA", at positions 2473 to 2597 of the family's 2925-position model. Lineage: Eukaryota; Metazoa; Arthropoda; Insecta; Coleoptera; Dytiscidae. The record is from RNAcentral.
GUCCUUUUGAAAUUUAUUUAAGGUCUAAUCUGCCCACUGAUAUAAUUGAAGGGCCGCAGUAAUUUGACUGUGCGAAGGUAGCAUAAUCAUUAGUUUUUUAAUUAAAAGCUUGUAUGAAUGAUUGGACGAGAUAAAAUCUGUCUCUUAGUAAUUAAUAGAAUUUAAUUUUUAAGUUAAAAAGCUUAAAUUUGUGUAAAAGACGAGAAGACCCUAUAAAUCUUUAUAUUAUUUAAUUUAAUUUUAUUAUAGAAUUUUUUAUUAUUUAAGUUAAAUUUUAUUUUAUUGGGGUAAUAAAAAGAUAAGUAUAAUUCUUUUUUAAUUUUAACAUUAAUAUAUGAAAUUAAGAUCCAAGAUUAUUGAUUAUAAGAUUAAGUUACUUUAGGGAUAACAGCGUAAUUUUUUUAGAGAGUUCAUAUCGAUAAAAAAGUUUGCGACCUCGAUGUUGGAUUAAAAAUUAUUUCAGGCGCAGUAGUUUGAAAUUUUGGUCUGUUCGACCAUUAAAUUUUU